GCGGAUGUGGCGGAACUGGUAGACGCACUGGAUUUAGGUUCCAGCGCCGCAAGGCGUGGAGGUUCGAUUCCUCUCAUCCGCACCA
This 85-nucleotide transfer RNA is filed under the name Limoniibacter endophyticus. RNAcentral describes it as "tRNA-Leu". It matches the Rfam family "tRNA". Rfam says of the family: Transfer RNA (tRNA) molecules are approximately 80 nucleotides in length. Their secondary structure includes four short double-helical elements and three loops (D, anti-codon, and T loops). Further hydrogen bonds mediate the characteristic L-shaped molecular structure. tRNAs have two regions of fundamental functional importance: the anti-codon, which is responsible for specific mRNA codon recognition, and the 3' end, to which the tRNAs corresponding amino acid is attached (by aminoacyl-tRNA synthetases). tRNAs cope with the degeneracy of the genetic code in two manners: having more than one tRNA (with a specific anti-codon) for a particular amino acid; and 'wobble' base-pairing, i.e. permitting non-standard base-pairing at the 3rd anti-codon position. Lineage: Bacteria; Pseudomonadati; Pseudomonadota; Alphaproteobacteria; Hyphomicrobiales; Bartonellaceae. The record is from RNAcentral.